CUGGAUCUUCCUAGCAACCAAAUAAAAUAUUCUAACAAACUUUUAGAGUGUGGCCAUGCAACGUAACUGACACCCAUGACUAAUAACCUGGUUAGUGGGCAGAUAGCAGGCUUCCAAAAAACAACCACGUGGUAUAGCUGAUACCGAUGACUAACAACCUGAUAAGUGGGCAGAUGGCAGGCAGCCUACCCUGACAGCCUACAGGC
This 206-nucleotide long non-coding RNA is filed under the name Elaeis guineensis (African oil palm). RNAcentral's name for it is "long non-coding RNA (EGUI_LNC033764)". The record is from RNAcentral. Lineage: Eukaryota; Viridiplantae; Streptophyta; Magnoliopsida; Arecales; Arecaceae.